UGCGGAGGGGACUAGCGUUGUUCGGAAUUACUGGGCGUAAAGCGCACGUAGGCGGAUUUGUAAGUCAGGGGUGAAAUCCCGGGGCUCAACCUCGGAACUGCCUUUGAUACUGCAAAUCUCGAGUCCGGAAGAGGUGAGUGGAAUUCCUAGUGUAGAGGUGAAAUUCGUAGAUAUUAGGAAGAACACCAGUGGCGAAGGCGGCUCACUGGUCCGGUACUGACGCUGAGGUGCGAAAGCGUGGGGAGCAAACAGG
RNAcentral lists this ribosomal RNA (253 nucleotides) under uncultured bacterium. RNAcentral's name for it is "partial 16S ribosomal RNA". It matches the Rfam family "Bacterial small subunit ribosomal RNA", at positions 524 to 776 of the family's 1533-position model. The record is from RNAcentral.